RNAcentral lists this long non-coding RNA (5337 nucleotides) under Sus scrofa (pig). RNAcentral's name for it is "lncRNA (ENSSSCG00025063418.1)". Lineage: Eukaryota; Metazoa; Chordata; Mammalia; Artiodactyla; Suidae. The record is from RNAcentral.
UUUUUUUUCUUUUUUUUUGUCUUUUGUCUUUUUAGGGCCGCACCCUCGGCAUAUGGAGGUUCCCAGGCUAGGGGUCCAAUCAGAGCUAUUGCUGCUGGCCUAUACCACAGCCACAGCAACACCAGAUCUGAGCUACGUCUUCGACCUACACCACAGCUCACGGAAACACCAGAUCCUUAACCCACUGAGCAAGGCCAGGGAUCAAACCCACAACCUCAUCAUUCAUAGUCGGUUCCAUUUCCACUGUGCCAUGAUGGGGAACUCCCUAGAAUAGCUAAUUUUUUUUAAAUAUCAUAAUAAAUAUAUCAAUUUCUAGUAAAGUCCUGAAGAAACUGAAUCCCCCAAACCUUGAUGAUGGGAAAUUAAAAUGGUACAGUCAUUCUGGAAAAAAUUUUCACAGUUUCUUAACAAAAAUAAAUAAACAUGCAACUUCCAUACCACCCAGCAAGUGCAGUCCUGGGCAUUUAUCCCAGAGAAAUGAAAGCUUAUGUCCACACAAAUAUCUGUACAUAGUUGCUCACAAAAGCUUUAUUUGUAAUAGCCACGAACUGAAAACAACCUAAAGUUCAAAAACUGGAUGGCGAAACUAUGGUACAUCCAUACCAUGGGGUGUUACUCAAUAAAAAUGAACUAACUGUCUAUACACAGGACAACUUCACAGAUCUCAGGUGAGUAUGCUGAAUGCAGAAGGCCAACCCCUAAGUGACAUCUUACCUUUCAUAUAUUAUUCUUGAAAUGACAAAAGUAUGCUGAGAACAGACUGGUAUGUAGGCACUGCCGGUGGUACACUGUAUACAUAUAAUUACAUAUAAAAUCUCUGUAGUGAUGUAAUAGUUCUGUCUUGAUUGCGUGCAGUGGUGGCUACAGGACUCUGCACAUGUGAUAAAAAGACACAGAACUGCAUAUGCGCCAUGUACUCCUGGUCAUCUCCCACUUUCAAUGCUGCACUCCCUACCAUCUCCGUCUGUCUCCACUGUUCAGGACCUCCUGCCGCUCAUCCUGGGUAGUGUUGGUCCCCCAGUGCUUGCUCCCUCUCGAGUCCAUCCCAGGUACCACUGAAGACUUUCCAGACCAAGAUCCUAACAUACAAAAUCAUUACUCUUUAGGCCCAAGGACAUUUAAAAAACCUUACAAAUGGAGCAAAAUCAUUAUCAAUAAGAUAUACAUGGAGUGAAAAAUAGUCUAAAAACUGCACUUGGUAACAAUACAGUAUCAUUAUUAUAUCAGAAAAAGAAUGUACACUGAUGGAAAAUAGCAUAUAAGAUCAGAGAAAAUCUUUACAAAUAAACAUUUGAACUUUUAUUUUUUGCAGUAGGGAAUAAUUUUAGAUAAUUUAUGUUCUUCUGAAACUCAUUUGUAUUCUAGUCUAUAUAUACAGCAGCCUGAGAGGUUGAGAAAAUCUGGGCCAGAGACCUAAAUACAGAGUUCCAGGAGGGUUCUGGCUGGAUGAGGCUCACUUAUGUAACCACUGGUCCAGACUCUCUUCGAUGUGAGGAACAGUUAUGCAUUCACUGUGGCAGCGGGGGGUGGGGGGGGGGCUCUGCACAAUGGGAGGAAAAUGGUGGCAUAUCGAUUAGAAGAUUAUUUCUGAAAGCAAAGGCAAAGUGAGGAAUAGUUUCAGAGUGGCUCUUAUGUACUUAGCAUGCUGAGAUUUCCACACAUUUUUCCAAAAAAGGAAAGCAUUAUGAAAACAUGGGAUUUUCCUCAGUAUCUAAAAUCAUGACUUGGCUUCAAAGGCUUAAAAAAAGCAACAACCAACAUUGCUUUUUCUGAUUACAGGAGUUACCAUAGCCAUUUCCUUUCCCACCUGCCUCCUUUAACACCUUUCACUAAGUAUCUCUGAUUGAUUCUAAGUCUCAGAGGAACAAUGUAACAAGAGAACACAUUGCACUUGGGGCAUCACACCAUCCUGUAACUAAACAUCACACUUUCCACUCAUCUUUGGAAGGACAAAUUUAUCACUCUAAACCAAUUAGGAGUUUGAUGUGCACGGCUGAAUACAUGCUAAAGUAGGGAGGGAAAAGGGAGCUAAUAAUUAGACUUUCGGAUAAGUUAGGAUUAAGAUUAAUGGUAAAACAGCCCAUUAUAGAGACUAAAAUUAAUGACAGACUCCUUUUUAACUGGAAGUAGUGUCUGCUCUACUGUGUGCCAGGGAAGCCCCAGAGAAAACACUUAAAAACGCUCAUCAAAAACAUGUCUUUUUGGAGUUCCUGUCGUGGCACAGCAGAAACGAAUCCAACUAGUAUCCAUGAGGUUUCGGAUUCAUUAACCACUGCGCCAUGACGGGAACUCCGCGUUUUCUUAUUUUUCUUGCCAUUCAUUCUUUGAGUUUAGGAAAGCCUGACUUACUGUGUUCACUGGACUUGAGUAAAAUGCAUUUCCUUUGCUCUGAGGUCACAGAAUCUUCAGAGAAGGACCUGGGAGAUCCUGGAAAGGACUCAGAAGAGGUUACCAGAGAAGUGUUAUGGUCAAAAUACUUGGGAAGCCUGUUAGAAUACCAUGGAUGAAAUCAAAUUUUCUGAAAUGCACACUUCACACUUGAAUAAGCUUUUUUUUCUUGUCUUUUUAGGGCUGCAUCUGCGGCCUCUGGAGGUUCCCAGACUAGGGGUUAAAUCAGAGCUGUAGCUACUGGCCUACACCACAGCCACAGCAACGUGGGAUCCGAGCUGCAUCCGUGACCUACACCACAGCUCACGGCAAUGCCAGAUCUUUAACCCACUGAGCAGUGCCAUGGAUUUGGGAAGCUACCACCAGCCAAACAGUGCCAUCUUCAGUGUGGCUUGACUUUGCAAUGUGUAAAUCUGCCAUUCUUGAUGAGGAUUUUGGUUUCUUCCCUUCUCUUUCCUGUCCCUAUCAAGAGCUACGAGUUUCCCCAAAGUCUGACCAUCUAGCUAUAGGAUAGUCCUAUAGAAGAUGAUUAAGUUGUGGAAGGCUGGCUCCUUCCAACUCGAGCUGCUGGUAGGAUCAUUGCUCCCACCCCACAAGCUCCUUCCGGAUGGGAUAGCAAAGACUCCAGUCCUUCCCAGGCCUACAAAAGACCGUCGCUCCAUUACUCAUCUACCCUGAACCACGCUGAUCUUCUGUCAAUGGCCAGACCUCUUAGACCAGCGCUGAGGUACCUCUCCUACCAUAUAUGCAUAGAAACCUUUAAGUAAUUGAGUGUUUGGCAUUUGUUUUGUAUGGCUUUGGUUAUCUAUUUACCUACUCCCCAGACAAUCAUAAAUAUCCCAUAACCUGGAGAUCACCAGUAUGCAUGUGACAUGGGAAUGACUAAAAGAUUAAGAUCCCCCCCAGCCCCCCCACUUCACCAGGAACAGCACACUUUGGAUUCUGCCCCAUGGGAACACGGCUGACAAGGACACUACGUCUGAACUCUAUGUUCCCUCUGGUACCAAAACUCUUCCUGAAAGGAGACUGUAAAUAGUAAAAACCACCUCUCCUUUCACAUGUCCAGGAAGACUAGAAGGCUGGAGCUAACCCUUUCCUCUUCAUUAAAUCCAUUUCUGCCCACAGCUUAAUUUGAUAUGUAAGACACUGACUGAGUCACAGGCCUCCAAAAGAAGAUGCAUCAGUGCCAGGGGAGACCUGCAGCCCUCGUGGGACUGUCUAAUAAUCUGCCUUGUUAGAGUCCCUGGGGCUUCCCAGAAUUUGAUAACAAUCUCUUUGUCCCAUGCUUCCAGACCACAGUGUGACUUCCUAUGGCGGUGCUGGACGCCAGCCCAGCCGCCCUGUAAAGCCACCACAACUCAAGACAUAAUUGGUGUUUUGCCCCCUAAAACCUUGAGCACACGCUACCCAUUUCUGUUAGCAUCGUCAGCAUUGCCUUUCAAUGUACCUGCAGAGCAGGCUCGGGGCACCAUGUUCUCAGCCCUCACUGGGGCUUUCUCCCCAUCAGUGAAGCUCUGGAGAUGGAAUCUCACUCGCUAAGCAGGACACACAAGGACACGAUGGCGUUGGUCGCCGGCUGGACCCUGUUUGUGUGCCUUACACAGGAUGCUCCCUGCCAUGUACUCUGAGUUUUCCUGUUAGUAUUUUGCUCACUAUGAUGAAGUUUCUUUAAAGUGAUGGUGCUCAAGUCCUCCUGUUACCAGCACAAGUUCAGCGUCCAGCAAACAGAAAGUGCUGAUGAGGAUCGCCGACAGCCCCAGAGCCACAUAACUCACCACAACAUGGCUCAGGAUUGCUCUUCAGGCCUGUGCAGUUCCCAGAGUCCCCACACUGAUUGUUCCUACAUAAAAUGUCAUUUAGUUUCAUUAACUCCAUGAGAUAACAAAAUUUAUCCAAUUAAACAUUCCCAUCUAACAAGGACUGGAAGAACUGGGUCACUGACUGCAUACAUGCUAUUGGUGAGAAAGAUGAAGACAAGUCUAGAACCCAGGAAGAUGAAUCAGACUGCACCUGUUUGGACAAAGGGAGGGCAAAAUACAAGGGUAAAGAUGACAGGAGUCCCUUACAGGUGGAGAGAAGUGAUGACAACAUAGACAGAAUUAAGGAAGCCAGUCGGAAGGGCUUUGUCAGAUGGGAAUAUUUCAGGUCAAUUUUACAGUCUUUCCCUGAAAGUCAAUUCUGAAAUCAUGGGAUUUAUCAGAGCCAGUUGUUCAAGUGGGUUAAGCUCUAAUGAAUUUCACACAAAGCCUUUUGUUGUCCUCAGGCUGUUUCAUUCCAGUAUCACCUGGAGUAGCGGUUAAGAUGCAGCUGCUUCCUCUCACCAGAGAGGCUCUGUGAGAACAGGUGGCUGGCUGUUCAUCGCAUCCAUCCCUGAAAGGCAUCCUGGUGAGUCUGAGUCAGCCUUAGGCCACGAUUUGAUAAACUCUGGCUUUUGCCUAUUUCUAAGGUUUUUGAUCAGGAUGAAGAGUCCGUUUAUAGCAGAGUUUAUCCCUAUCAAAUAUUUUAUCCCUACCAAACAGAGAUUUUCCUCAUAAAAUGUGUUAGAAUCUACAAGUCAAUUCUCCAUGCCCUCCGUAAAGAAGAAAGUCAAACCCCAGGUGCACUGAAGACUCCACUUACAAUCAGAGAAGGAAAGCACCUGCAGGCUCCCCCAUCAAAGGUGUCACAACACAACCGCCAGCCCACACAGGGUACCAUUCCUGGAUAGCACCACCAUCUGCGUUUCAGUGAAAAGCCUCUUCAUAAAAGAAUACGAGCAUCAAAAUACAAAGCAAAACCUCCACACAGCCUCAUGCUGGGCCCAAAUAAAUGAGCCAGUUGUUCACAGAAGAAGACAGUUUGCAGAAAACUAUAUUUUAAAGGGCAUAUACUUGAUUCCACUGUACAUAGUAAAGUUAUUUUCCAAGUUCAUGAAUAAACUUGACACAGCUUUGCUUGCAUUCGACCCAA